RNAcentral lists this ribosomal RNA (781 nucleotides) under uncultured Neocallimastigales. RNAcentral describes it as "partial large subunit ribosomal RNA". It matches the Rfam family "Eukaryotic large subunit ribosomal RNA", at positions 24 to 634 of the family's 3401-position model. Lineage: Eukaryota; Fungi; Neocallimastigomycota; Neocallimastigomycetes; Neocallimastigales. The record is from RNAcentral.
GUAGUCUCGCACAGAUGCAUAUCAAUAAGCGGAGGAAAAGAAACUAACAAGGAUUCCCUCAGUAACGGCGAGUGAAGCGGGAAGAGCUCAAAUUUGAAAUCUUGCAAGGUUACCUUUCACGAAUUGUAGUUUAAAGAAGUGUUUUCUGCUUACGAUUCGUAAUAUAAGUUCUUUGGAAUAGGACAUCAUAGAGGGUGAGAAUCCCGUCUAUGAUUGCGAUUAUUGUAGCUUUGUGAUACACUUUCAAAGAGUCGGGAUUGUUUGGGAAUGCAGUCCAAAAUGGGUGGUAAAUUUCAUCUAAAGCUAAAUAUUGGCGAGAGACCGAUAGCGAACAAGUACCGUGAGGGAAAGAUGAAAAGAACUUUGAAAAGAGAGUUAAACUAGUACGUGAAAUUGUCAAAAGGGAAGCGUUUGAACACCAGUGUUGUUUUCUCGAAAAUCAAUUAAAAAUGGCUCGAUUUUGUAUUGUUGAGACCUUAAAAGCUCACUGUACAUUUUUCGUGUCUUUUUUAAUGCACUUUUCGUUUAACAAGUCAACAUCAGUUUCUUUUGUUGUAAAAGAGUCAUUGGAAGGUGGCUUUCUUUUCGGAGAAAGUGUUUAUAGCCUUUGGCCUCUGCAAUCGGAGAGACUGAGGUCUGCAGCGUAGACUCUUCGGGGUUAGAUACAUUUGUGCUAAGUUAUAGCUUUUUAUAGACAACUUGUUGACUAUAAUUAGUCUUGUAGCUUACUCGCUUAUGCUAUUUUACCUACGCUUAGGAUGUUGAGUCGUAGAGCACGCAG